RNAcentral lists this ribosomal RNA (253 nucleotides) under uncultured prokaryote. RNAcentral's name for it is "partial 16S ribosomal RNA". It matches the Rfam family "Bacterial small subunit ribosomal RNA", at positions 523 to 775 of the family's 1533-position model. The record is from RNAcentral.
AUACAGAGGUCUCAAGCGUUGUUCGGAUUCAUUGGGCGUAAAGGGUGCGUAGGUGGCGCGCUAAGUCAGGUGUGAAAUUUCGGAGCUUAACUCCGAAACUGCAUUUGAUACUGGCGUGCUUGAGGACUGGAGAGGAGACUGGAAUUCAUGGUGUAGCAGUGAAAUGCGUAGAGAUCAUGAGGAAGACCAGUGGCGAAGGCGGGUCUCUGGACAGUUCCUGACGCUGAGGCACGAAGGCCAGGGGAGCAAACGG